RNAcentral lists this transfer RNA (74 nucleotides) under Ipomoea nil (Japanese morning glory). It matches the Rfam family "tRNA". Rfam says of the family: Transfer RNA (tRNA) molecules are approximately 80 nucleotides in length. Their secondary structure includes four short double-helical elements and three loops (D, anti-codon, and T loops). The record is from Rfam by way of RNAcentral. Lineage: Eukaryota; Viridiplantae; Streptophyta; Magnoliopsida; Solanales; Convolvulaceae.
GACGGUUUGGCCGAGUGGUCUAAGGCGCCAGAUUUAGCUCUGUUCGAAAGGAGGGUUCAAAUCCACAGCCGUCA